Molecule: small nuclear RNA, 160 nt
Organism: Aegilops tauschii subsp. strangulata
Lineage: Eukaryota; Viridiplantae; Streptophyta; Magnoliopsida; Poales; Poaceae
Product: U1 spliceosomal RNA
Source: RefSeq, a predicted model, not a curated record
GUACUUACCUGGAUGGGGUCGACGGGUGAUCAAAAAAGCUCGUGGCCUAGAUCAAUGGCUCACAUUGCACUUGGUGAGUGCGUUGAUCUACCAUCUCCCCAAGUGGGAGACUGGACGUUGUAAUUUGUGGUAGAAGGGUACGCGUUCGCGCGGCCCCUAC